AUUGAACGCUGGCGACAGGCCUAACACAUGCAAGUCGAACGAGUGGCGGACGGGUGAGUAAUGUCUGGGAAACUGCCCGAUGGAGGGGGAUAACUACUGGAAACGGUAGCUAAUAACGAAUACCAUCGGAUGAGCCCAGAUGGGAUUAGCCAGUAGGCGGGGUAACGGCUCACCUCUGCGACGAUCCCUCGCUGGUCUGAGAGGAUGACCAGCCAGACUGGAACUUAGACACGAUCCAUACUCCUACGGGAGGCAGCAGUGGGGAAUAUUGCAAAAUGGGCGCAAGCCUGAUGCAGCCAUGCCGCGUGUAUGAAGAAGGCCUUCGGGGUGUAAAGUACUUUCAGCGAGGAGGCGGUAAUCGCAGAAGAAGCACCGGCUAACUCCGUGCCAGCAGCCGCGGUAAUUC
RNAcentral lists this ribosomal RNA (406 nucleotides) under uncultured bacterium. Its description in RNAcentral is "partial 16S ribosomal RNA". It matches the Rfam family "Bacterial small subunit ribosomal RNA", at positions 30 to 526 of the family's 1533-position model. The record is from RNAcentral.